UGAGGAAUAUUGGUCAAUGGACGCAAGUCUGAACCAGCCAUGCCGCGUGCAGGAUGACGGCUCUAUGAGUUGUAAACUGCUUUUGUACGAGGGUAAACGCAGAUACGUGUAUCUGUCUGAAAGUAUCGUACGAAUAAGGAUCGGCUAACUCCGUGCCAGCAGCCGCGGUAAUACGGAGGAUUCAAGCGUUAUCCGGAUUUAUUGGGUUUAAAGGGUGCGUAGGCGGUUUGAUAAGUUAGAGGUGAAAUUUCGGGGCUCAACCCUGAACGUGCCUCUAAUACUGUUGAGCUAGAGAGUAGUUGCGGUAGGCGGAAUGUAUGGUGUAGCGGUGAAAUGCUUAGAGAUCAUACAGAACACCGAUUGCGAAGGCAGCUUACCAAACUAUAUCUGACGUUGAGGCACGAAAGCGUGGGGAGCAAACAGGAUUAGAUACCCUGGUAGUCCACGCAGUAAACGAUGAUAACUCGUUGUCGGCGAUACACAGUCGGUGACUAAGCGAAAGCGAUAAGUUAUCCACCUGGGGAGUACGUUCGCAAGAAUGAAACUCAAAGGAAUUGACGGGGGCCCGCACAAGCGGAGGAACAUGUGGUUUAAUUCGAUGAUACGCGAGGAACCUUACCCGGGCUUGAAAGUUAGCGACGAUUCUUGAAAGAGGAUUUCCCUUCGGGGCGCGAAACUAGGUGCUGCAUGGUUGUCGUCAGCUCGUGCCGUGAGGUGUCGGGUUAAGUCCCAUAACGAGCGCAACCCCUACCGUUAGUUGCCAUCAGGUGAAGCUGGGCACUCUGGCGGGACUGCCGGUGUAAGCCGAGAGGAAGGUGGGGAUGACGUCAAAUCAGCACGGCCCUUACGUCCGGGGCUACACACGUGUUACAAUGGUAGGUACAGAGGGCAGCUACCCAGCGAUGGGAUGCGAAUCUCGAAAGCCUAUCUCAGUUCGGAUUGGAGGCUGAAACCCGCCUCCAUGAAGUUGGAUUCGCUAGUAAUCGCGCAUCAGCCAUGGCGCGGUGAAUACGUUCCC
RNAcentral lists this ribosomal RNA (1018 nucleotides) under uncultured bacterium. RNAcentral's name for it is "bacterial SSU rRNA". It matches the Rfam family "Bacterial small subunit ribosomal RNA", at positions 355 to 1375 of the family's 1533-position model. RNAcentral also lists the same sequence under 1 other name. The record is from RNAcentral.